GAUUUAUUUUUGUUUAUUAUUUUUAUUUUUAGGUGAAAUUAAAAUAUUUAUUAAUCUUUAUUUUUGAUUCUUUGAAAUUUAAAAUUUAAACUAGGAUUAGAUACCCUAUUAUUUUAAACAUUAAAUUUGACCAGGGUAGUAUUAGAUAUGUUCUUUAAACCUAAAGAAUUUGGCGGUGUUUUAGUCUAUUUAGAGGAAUUUGUCCCUUGAUCGAUAGUCCUCGUUAUAUCUUUCUUAGUUUAUUAAUAGUAUGUAUACCGCCGUUAUAAGUUUAUUUUUUAAGAAUUUAAUUUACUUUAUAUUUUAUUUAAUUUUAUUUCAGGUCAAGGUGCAGCUUAUAAUUAAGUGGUGAUGAAUUACAAUAUUAUUUGAGUAUAUGAAUUUUAAUAAGAAUAUAUUUAAUGAAGGUGGAUUUAAUAGUAAUUUUAAUAAUAGUGUUAAUUUGAUUUUAGCUCUAGAAUGAGUACAUAUCGCCCGUCACUCUCAAUUUGUUUGAGAUAAGUCGUAACAUAGUAGAUGUACUGGAAAGUGUAUCUAGUAUGU
This 543-nucleotide ribosomal RNA is filed under the name Bacillus atticus. RNAcentral's name for it is "partial small subunit ribosomal RNA". The record is from RNAcentral. Lineage: Eukaryota; Metazoa; Arthropoda; Insecta; Phasmatodea; Bacillidae.